CCUACGGGAGGCAGCAGUAAGGAAUAUUGGUCAAUGGACGCAAGUCUGAACCAGCCAUGCCGCGUGAAGGAUUAAGGCCCUCUGGGUUGUAAACUUCUUUUAUAGGGGACGAAAAAAGGGCAUUCUUGCUCACUUGACGGUACCCUAGGAAUAAGCACCGGCUAACUCCGUGCCAGCAGCCGCGGUAAUACGGAGGGUGCAAGCGUUAUCCGGAUUUACUGGGUUUAAAGGGUGCGUAGGUGGGUUGGUAAGUCAGUGGUGAAAUCUUCGAGCUUAACUCGGAAACUGCCAUUGAUACUAUCAAUCUUGAAUCAUCUAGAGGUAAGCGGAAUAUGUCAUGUAGCGGUGAAAUGCUUAGAUAUGACAUAGAACACCAAUUGCGAAGGCAGCUUACUAUGGAUGCAUUGACACUGAGGCACGAAAGCGUGGGGAUCAAACAGGAUUAGAUACCCUGGUAGUCCACGCCCUAAACGAUGGAUACUCGACAUUUGUGAUAUACAAUAAAGUGUCUGAGCGAAAGCAUUAAGUAUCCCACCUGGGAAGUACGACCGCAAGGUUGAAACUUAAAGUAGUAGUAGACGNGNGAGAGACGACGACGACGACGACGGAGGGAGGAG
RNAcentral lists this ribosomal RNA (617 nucleotides) under uncultured bacterium. RNAcentral's name for it is "bacterial SSU rRNA". It matches the Rfam family "Bacterial small subunit ribosomal RNA", at positions 338 to 1251 of the family's 1533-position model. The record is from RNAcentral.